RNAcentral lists this non-coding RNA (23 nucleotides) under Rattus norvegicus (Norway rat). Lineage: Eukaryota; Metazoa; Chordata; Mammalia; Rodentia; Muridae. The record is from RNAcentral.
AUCUUCUGCCUUUUGCCUUUCAA